CCACUGCGGCUACCUUCAUGGCCCCGGGAACAAAUGAUUUUCCUCCAGCCCAUUGCACCAGGAAAAGUCUUCGAUAUUUGUGGUGGGUGGCCCUCAAACUCACCAACAUGUCCGAGAGCCUUCCUGAGCCCCAACUGUGCCCAUGUGCCCGCCCCUGCACGGGCUCCAGCGUCUUGGAGCUGAAGGUGGACGUCGUAAGCAGCUGAGCAGCCGCCCUCCCAGGAGGACUAGUCUGCCCCGACCACCCCCACCACAAGAAAUCAUACUACAGAAUGGCAUAAUGCAGAAGUACAUAAUAAUAAUGCCUCAAGUUAUACAAUAUUAUAGGAAAUAUAUAAUUAAGUAUAAAAUAUUUACAUAUAAAAAUCUCUUUUACAGAGGAGGAAGUGACUGACCCAGGAUCACCCUGCUGGCAAGUGUCUGAGGUGGGCUUUGAACUCCAGCCUUCCUGACUCCGGCCACUGUCCUGCCCCGGCUUGCACAGGGGAUAAGUAAUAGGCCAGUUACCCAUCCCCCAGCUCCUGGUUCCAUAGCACUCUUAGGCUUGCAAAACACUUCCUUCCUCCUCUUUCUGGGAGGGAAGUAGGGCCACUGUUAUUAGUCCUGUGUUUACAGAUGAGGGAACUGAUGGGAAGAAGCAGAAUGAUAACGGCCUCCGGUUCCUGUUUGGCAAGAGCUAUUCCAACUCAUGCUUUUGCGGUUCAGGCAGCUAGAGCUAAUGGUCUAGAUCUCGGGCCCUCCAGUUUAAUUAUCUUCAAGGUCUCUGAUGCAGGCGAAUGAAGAGGGAAAAGACAGAGGCGAGACCCCUCAAACGGAGCUGCUUCAGCCGGCCCCCUCCUCCCAUUUAUCACCGCAAUCCUUUGCUUCAACUCCCAACUUUGUUACAUGUCCAGCUUCAUACCUCUCAGUAUCACACCUUGACCGUAUCAAGGAAGGCAGCCAGGUAGUUUUUAAUGGAUAAAGUUAGAGAAAGUAGAGCAAGAAAUUAAGUGGAUUCGAAGUCAACAGGACCUGAGUUUGAAUCCUGCCCCGGGCAUUUACUCCCUGUGUCACUUCAUUAUCCUCAUCCUCAGUUUUCUCAUCUAUAAAAUGGGGAUAAAAAUCGCACCUACCCUCCAGGGUUGUGGCGUGUAAAACACUUUGUAAAUCUGAUGAUUAUUGCUAGUAGCAGAAGAGAUGCAUGUGCCGCCUUCACGACAGCUGAAUCACGAUUCCAUUCAGGGGUGACUCAUCCCCCAGAGACAAAGUGGAUCUGCAGUUGUGUGUGGUGCUGGUAAUGAGGCUCGAACAAUUUGGCCAUGAGAAGUUCCUUUGGGAAGCAAAGCCACCCACACGUUUCCUGCCUCCCACCCGCUGUUGCGCCAUAUUGGAUUGCAAGGGCUUGUUAACAGUCAAUAGUCAAUGACCAUUUAUGAUGUACCUACUAUGUGCAGGAUUAUGCUUGAGAACUUAGUUUCUUGGGGCAGAAUAUCACCAAUGAGGUCAACAUCAAGACUCUUACUGCGCUGCUUGGCUUAUCAUAGAAAGAGCCCCACUUUAUCUCCACCGGUAUUUAGCCCAUGGUCAGAAAGUAAUUUCCGGCUCCAAACAGGCCAGAUUAUAAAUGAGAGAGACCUGGACACACUCGUUGGAGAAAACACCGUGACCGCAUCUCAGCGGACAUUUGGUUUAUGGCGAGUCCCACCUUUAACUAGGAGGACCGGCAUCAGGAUGGCCCAGAGGGGUUGAGAAUGAUAUGAUUACAAAGGUUUUUAGGGAAAAGACUAAGCCACUGACCAUCUCUUUGGCUAUUCCCAAGUGUCCAGUCUUCCAGGAAGAUCCUGUAGCACGGGGGUUCCUGGCCAGCUCUCCACUCCAGCAUCCGGGACUUUUAAUGAUCUCUCUCCACCGUAGCCUUUGCCAGACCUUCAAGGAUUCACAAAAGAAAUAAAAAGCAAACUUUUAAAGGCCCAUUUAUGACAUAUCCUUGGAAGUAAUUAGCACAAUCUGAUCUUCAGAGCAAACUGGCAAAUGUCCACACGAUGAUUAAACUUAAUACCUCCUAACUGUGGCUUUCUGAGAGCUCUAGAUGUAGGGGGAGGAGGGGCUGUGCGCAAUGGAAGCUGCUCCAUGAUUUAGCAGGAGUAUUAUUUAUUUAUUCAGUUUACUGCAAAUUCUUCCUGUCUAGACAGAUUUCAGGAUCGCAGAGGCGAGUGUGGCACGGGGGAAGGGCUGGGCUUGUGGAAUAAGGAUGUUCUGGCCCAAUUCUCUCAGGGUCACACCCGAUACCCCUUCCCUCGAGGUUCUGGCUCAGUUCUUCUGCAGCAUCGGUCCCACCGAGCUCAUGCCCAAAUGGGGCAAGACCACGGGCAAGUCUUCCUGUGGUGUUGGAGUUCCUCAAGUCAUGCUUUGCUUUGGGGGGACAGUGACGUCCCUGCUGGGGAUCAGACCUAGCCUGGGUUUGGGUUUGUAGAUUUGGGGGUCGGAGGUUCCAAGCCCUUCACUUGGCAUGGGGAAAUAUGGAUACGAAAGCCAAAGCUCUCAGAGGGCUUCAGAGGGGGAGAAGGCCCUAAGGCUGCCCCACACGCUUCCCAUCUGCUGCCGUAAGCACCCCCAGACACUGUGAAGUGAAGAGAGGCAAAGGAGCGGCUAAAACCGACGGAGACCUUUCUGAAGAUACCCACAGUUGUGACUACGCAGCCGUCUGCUAAAUGUUCCUCCUGCCCAUAUGCUGGGCUGACCCAAACCAGGUGGAGAAGGUCCCCACAUGCUCCACAGUAGCUCGAAGUCAUUUCCUUCCCUCCUCAUGGCACUCUGGGGGCCUGAAGCAGGGUUUGUGCCUGCCCCAGACCCCCACUACCUGUGGCCAAAACAAUGGGUACAUGGAUGGAAAAAUAUAAAAUAUACGCCACGGAAGUGAGGAAGCAGGAGGGGAUGGGAGCCCUGGGUAGGGAGCAGCAGCCAGGCCAGAGUCUCCCCUCCCCUGGCAGCAGAGGGGAAGCUUGAGCAUGGGGUUCUCCUGCUUUCUCCGGUCUUUUUCUCAGGGGAAGGAGCCUGGAGAUAGAGGUUAGACCUUGACUUCCUGGGCUUUGAAAGUGUGAGCCCCCAGAAGCCCAGGGUGCCACAGUUUGCCACCAGGGCAGCUCUGAAAGGCGACUGGUGGGACCAGGGAGCAGACAUUCAAGCGGCCAGCCAGGGAGCGGCUUCACCCGCCUGCUCUGCAGGAUUUGGGGUGGACUUUGUGGGUCAUGCUUCUGGGCCUGAGGGGAGAAUGCGUCUCCGAGUGGUACAGAAGCCAGCGACCCCCAACCCAGCCCUUCUGUCAUUGCCCUCUCUCUUCAGUCAAUAUCUUUUUGUAAAGACUAAUAGAAGUUAAUGGGUUAAAUGUUAAUCACUGGUAUUAAUGGACUACUAUUAA
This is a long non-coding RNA of Sarcophilus harrisii (Tasmanian devil), 3397 nucleotides long. RefSeq lists it as uncharacterized. The transcript has 2 exons. The record is from RefSeq and is a predicted model, not a curated record. NCBI's taxonomy places the organism in Eukaryota, Metazoa, Chordata, Mammalia, Dasyuromorphia, Dasyuridae.